GCCGGAGUAGCUCAGGGGUAGAGCAAUACUUUCGUAAAGUAGAGGCCGGGAGUUCGAAUCUCCCCUCCGGCUCCG
This 75-nucleotide transfer RNA is filed under the name candidate division Kazan bacterium. Its description in RNAcentral is "tRNA-Thr". It matches the Rfam family "tRNA". From Rfam's summary of the family: Transfer RNA (tRNA) molecules are approximately 80 nucleotides in length. Their secondary structure includes four short double-helical elements and three loops (D, anti-codon, and T loops). Further hydrogen bonds mediate the characteristic L-shaped molecular structure. tRNAs have two regions of fundamental functional importance: the anti-codon, which is responsible for specific mRNA codon recognition, and the 3' end, to which the tRNAs corresponding amino acid is attached (by aminoacyl-tRNA synthetases). tRNAs cope with the degeneracy of the genetic code in two manners: having more than one tRNA (with a specific anti-codon) for a particular amino acid; and 'wobble' base-pairing, i.e. permitting non-standard base-pairing at the 3rd anti-codon position. The record is from RNAcentral.